AACGCACGAGACCUGCGGACCUGCGGAGGGAUCAUUAGUGAACGCCCUCACGGGCUUAUAACUAUUCCAAACCUCUGUGAACCGUGCCCUUCGGGGCUAUUUUACAAACGUGGUGUAAUGAACGUCAUAUAUCAUAACAAAACAAAACUUUCAACAACGGAUCUCU
Molecule: unclassified non-coding RNA, 166 nt
Filed under: soil metagenome
Description: partial contains 5.8S ribosomal RNA, internal transcribed spacer 2, and large subunit ribosomal RNA
Source: RNAcentral